Molecule: long non-coding RNA, 21948 nt
Filed under: Nicotiana benthamiana
Lineage: Eukaryota; Viridiplantae; Streptophyta; Magnoliopsida; Solanales; Solanaceae
Description: long non-coding RNA (NBEN_LNC005249)
Source: RNAcentral
UGACCCUUCCUGCUAGGACGGGUAGUGAUAUCUCCCAGAUGUUUGUUCUACUGCAUUAUUGAAACCAUUUAGUGUUAUGCAGUACGAUAUUACCUUAUCCUUGAGUCCCAUUAGUACGAGGACCCUCGGGUGGAUAAUACAGGCGCCACUACCAUCAUCAACCAAGAUUUUUUUUAUAUCCGUAUCUGCGAUACGUAAAGUGAUAGCUAAAGCAUCGUAAUGGGGGAAAGUCAAACCAUUGGCAUCAGAAUUAUCAAAGGUGAUUCUAUCUUCAAAGUCGUCACACUUUUAUAUCUGUAUCUGCGAUACAUAAAGUGAUAGCUAAAGCAUCGUAAUUGGGGAAAUUCAAACCGUUGGCAUCAGACUUGUCAAAGAUGAUACUGUCUUCGAAGUCGUCAUAUUGUUCGUGGGCGAUGGUUCGCUUCAGCUUGUGGUAGUGGUAAAUUUGAUGUGAUUGAUUGCCGAGUCAUUGCCAUCUUCGAUGAUCAUGUUGAUCAUAUGUGUUGGUUAAGGCGUCUUUGGUGGACCGUGGGGUUGCUCCCUUCCACAUACAAAGUUGUUUUUUCCUUUGUCACUAAGUAUCUCUUUCAAGAACCCUUGGUUCAACAUCCUGACCACCUCUUGCCAUAGGCCUAUGCAAUCUUCAGUUUUGUACCCUUGUUUCUGGUGCAACUCGCACAUGGCAUUGGAUUUUCUUGUGACGAGGUCUGACUUCAUCUUUGUCGGCCAUUACACCUUGUUGCCCAGCUUUCAAGUGCAUACUCUAUCUCUGAUGGGAAUACACAAAAGUUAUGGGCAGAUAAUAAGGUGGCAUACCUCUGUUGUUUCGUAAUGGAGUGACUUGUCGUUGUAGAGCGCCCGGGUGCCUGGUGGCGGUGGGUGACAGGAUCUGAUGUUGGGUUGGUGUCUCAGUGCAACUCGUACAUGGCAUUGGAUUUUCUUGUGACGGGGUCUGACUUCAUCUUUGUCGGCCAUUGCACCUUGUUGCCCAGCUUUUCAAGUGCAUACUCUAUCUCUGAUGGGAAUACACAAAAGUUAUUGUCAGAUAAUAAGGUGGCCUACCUCUGUCAUUUCGUAAUGGAGUGACAUGUCGCUGUAGAGCGCCCGGGUGCCUAGUGGCGGUGGGUGACAGGAUCUGAUGUUGGGUUGGUAUCUCUCCCUAUUGGGACGUGGGACUUGUUCCCUUCCCCCUUCGUUACGUUUGACCCCCCUGAUUUCUGGGUGUAUUAUUGAUAAACGUUGGGUCGACUCGUUCAGGUCGUCCUCAUCUGCACGUACCUCAGCACAGUAAGAGUUUUGGAUUUCUUCCCAUGUGGUGGGAGGAUACUUUAUGAGGCGACUUAGUAGUUUUUUGGUUGCCCUUGAGUCGUCCCUGCUUGACCCGUUCUGAAAAGCGACGACUGCCAUGCCUUCCAAUACGUUUGGUAGCCUCAUCCUUACUUUGUUAAACUUGGCUAAGAAGUCCCUGAGUCCUUAUCAUGUGGUUUGCCGAAUAGUGAAGAUGUAAUUGACUCUUGCUUCUGCUUUCUUUGCUCCUGCAUUGGUGGUGACAACUUGUCCUCUAUUUCCUCAAACGUAGAAAUGAUCUUUCCGAAUAGUGAAGAUGUCAUUGACUCUUGCUUCUGCUUUCUUUACUCCUGCAUUGGUGGUGACAACUUGUCCUCUAUUUCCUCAAACGUAAAAAUGAUCUUGGCCGUUAGCUGGGAGUACCAGGUUAGUGCUCCUUCUGUCAGUGUUUCGUCGAACUUCUUCAGCAGCAUGGGCGGUACAUGUUAUUUUGACAGGUCGUUACCUUUUACAGCCAUGACGUAGUGGAUCAGAUGAUCCUCGGGAUCUGUAGUUCCAUCAUACACUCUGAAAUAAGGAGGCAUUUUGAAGGUUUUUGGGAUGGAGUAGUANNNNNNNNNNNNNNNNNNNNNNNNNNNNNNNNNNNNNNNNNNNNNNNNNNNNNNNNNNNNNNNNNNNNNNNNNNNNNNNNNNNNNNNNNNNNNNNNNNNNNNNNNNNNNNNNNNNNNNNNNNNNNNNNNNNNNNNNNNNNNNNNNNNNNNNNNNNNNNNNNNNNNNNNNNNNNNNNNNNNNACGCUCUUCCGAUCUUUUAUCUGGUCACGAAGUUACUUGUUUUCAUUUUCCAUUUCAUCCAUCUUGUUGAGGAUGAUUGUGAGCGUGCCACCGUUGGCCCGAGUAUCGAUGAGCAUAUUUUUAGAUUGUACGCUCUCGGGUUCACCUUCAACUGCAGCAAGGUCUGCUGUUGGCACGCAUCUGAUGUUGUUUUGAGGAGACUAUUUAACCAAGCCACUUGGAAUACUCGUUAACCAUUCUUCCAGUAAUUUCAUGACCUCCGGGGGUUCUUCUUCAGUUGCAGCUGUAGAAGCUCCCUUUUCCCGCAAGAUCAUUAGCUCUUCAGGUGGGGGAGGUGGGAUUUCCCCGCUUGUUGUGGUGCUAUGGGUUGCAAUCAAAACACCCUCUUCACCGGCUUCGUUGAGAGGACCGAUGAGGUUGGUUGCAACAUUUGCUAUCAUUUUCAUUUUUGCGUUGUUGUCAGCCAUCUUUUGUUUGUGUGUUGUAGAGAAGGAUUUUCGAUGGUUCUCUAGGUGCAAGCUUUGGUUUUGAUUCUCGAAAUCCCCAUAGACGGGGCCAAGUUGUUUAGCUCAAAAAUUAUACUCACUUUAUAAGCUUAAAACUAUGGUUUUGAUUCUCAAAAUCCCCAUAGACGGUGCCAAAUUGUUUAGCUCAAAAAUUAUACUCACUUUACAAGCUUAAAAACAAUCAAAAUGUAUAAGGGCAAAUCGUAAUCAAAUGUAAUGAGCCCUAGAGAUGAUUAUUGUGUCAAGAUCGUUGUAGAUCUGGAAGUGUGAAGAAAAUAAACUUAGUUUUAGAGAGAAGCAAUAGUUGGAGACCAAGAACGAGAUAGAGAUAGAGAGAGAAGUCGUAUUAUUCGAGAAUAAUCAUGCCCUGUAUUACAAUGUGAAUGACUUCUUUAUUUAGUAGGAGAUCUUCCUCGAAAUAAUCAAAAAUUACAAAAGUUGGUGGCAUCCACUCAGUAAAGAAGGAAGACCCUAAAUGACGUCGCCUUUACUUUAUCAACUCGGUCGUGCCCUCACUUGGGUCGACCUUAUCAUAAUGGACGUGCCCACUCAACGUAGGAACAUUGAGAUCCAAAUUUUACCCUAUACAAAUCUAAAACACUUUAUUUUGUAUUAAUAGUUUCUAUCACUACAACUCUUUCUUUUUCUCUUUUCCUUUAUUUUCAUAUCUAUUCUUUAUGAAUAAACAAAGACAACAGUUUCAUGAAAUGAAGACUUUUUAUGUCUUACAUUUGAUUUAAAUGCAAAAGUUCCUAAAGCAGUUAAUGGCUACAAGUUGACUCGGAUGAGUUUUUUCUAUUAUUAUUAGGAAUUGUUUAAAUAUUCACGAUGGAGUUCAGUGGUCAAGACUCAGAUUGAAUAUUUACUCUUUAGGAAGUCCGAUAGAGGUAUUUGCGUGGAUUACAAGGUCAUUCCGAGUAAGAAUCUCUCGUUCCUUAAUAGGCUCCUGGACAUGGACCUUGAGAUCACGAGGAAGAGGGCGAUGUAUAGUCAACAUAGGAUAAAGUGGUGAGCCUUGAAGGAAGCUAAAACGCAAGAUCUGGGGGUCAAACUAGUGACUAUGGGGGCUUGGAGGAGUAGUGGGGACAUAAGAGCUAUGUGGACCACGACUAUGCAAUGCACUAGGAAAGCUGCGAGAGAGGUAUUAGGGGUUUCAAGUUGUAUUUUUCAAUAAUGACAUCAUCAAAAAUUAACCUAAAAGACACACAUUCUCUCAACACUUGUCUCGAUCCAGCUAAAUCCGUGUCAGUGAUGUCUAUGUGACUGUGGAUACAAAACCAUGCACAUUAUGGAUCUGAAAAUAAAAGAAAGAAUUAAAUUUUUGUUAAUGUGUUACUUUAAGAAACAAAUUUAUGUUCAUUGGCAGAAAGUGCUGUGCAAAAAAGAGCCCAGACAAGCACGGGGGCUCCAUAACCUAAGCACAUCAACAUUUACAAGGGUUAGAUAUUAAAGAACAAAUAGAUAUAACAUAUCAAUUAAGGAAAAGGCAAUGUAUUAAAGAUCUUACAAUUUGGUGACUCAUUGAUUCAAUUUGGAUAAAAAAACAUGAGUUUAUAUAGGAUACACAUGGAACCCCAUGGUAUCUGUUUUCCUUUAGUAAUUAAGUUGUUACCAACUUUACUAAAUCUGAUUUAGUUCCAACUGUAACAAAAAUAUCAAAAGUCUAUUUGGUGAAAGUAUUAAAAAUUGCAAUUUUGGUAAGAAAAAAAAGUCAUGAAUGAUAAAACUCAGACAAUUAUUUAAAAUGUAUCUUAUCUUGAAUAUGCGGUAUUAUUUAUCAAUAAGGUAAAAAAUCCAUGUAUUUUAUAGGUUUUUAGUUUUUUAGACCAAUUGUCACUUGCUUAGAUAACAGGCCCAGAAUAAGCUAUAUAUAGUGACUUUUAUUUAAUUCCCUUUCGUUUGGGGUUCGAGAAACUUUAUAUUAUGCAUUAUGACUUGGGUGUAGUUGGAUUUGACUUUUGAGAGAUUCGGAGUUGAUUUGGAAGAGUAAUUCUUAAUUCGGAAGUGUAGUUGGUUUUGACUUUUGAGAGGUUCAGAGUUGAUUUGGAAGAAUAAUUCUUAAUUCGGAAGCUCUAAGUUAGAAGAAAUGACCGAGAUUUGGCUUUUGAGUAAAGCACCUCGGAAUCGAGAUUUGAUGGUUUCAAUAGGUUUGUAUGUCGAUUGUGAACUUGGUGGUUUGUUCGGAUUUGAAAUUUGGAUGUUCCUAGAAGGUUUUGGCCCUAUUUGCCUAACAUUUGGCAAUUUGAAUAAUUGGAAAGUUCACAAGUGUGACCGCAAGUUGAUUUGAUGGUAUCAGGUUCGGAUUAUUGUUUCAAAAAUUAGAAUAUUUCAUUUUGUCAAGUGAAAUUUAGCAAGUAUGACCGCAAGUUGAUUUGAUGGUAUCAGGUUCGGAUAAUUGUUUCAAAAAUAAGAAUAGUUCAUUUUGUCAAGUGAAAUUUAAGUACAAAGUUUGGUUGUGAUCCGUAAUGUCGAAGUGUGAUUCAGACAAGUUCGGUGAUGUUUGAGUUUUGGAAAGUUAAGAGAAUGAUCUUGACCUUAGAUAUGUUGUUUUGAUGUUAAUUGCAGUGUAUAAGACUUUGGAUGAGUUUGAAUUAGGUAUAUGGAAUUAUUGGUAUGAUUGGACUAGAUCCCGAGGGGUUCGGGUAUAUUUUGGAUAGAUUUCCAACCAUUUUUGGAAUUGAGGGCACAACUAGUUUUGGUGCAUCGCACCUGCGAGAAUGGUUGCACAGAAGUGCAGUCCGGAUAGAUUUCCAAUCAUUUUUGGAAUUGAGGGCACAACUAGUUCUGGUGCAUCGCACCAGCGAGAAUGGUUGCACAGAAGCGCAGUCGCAUCUACGGUGCAUUGUGCGCAGAAGUGCAUGUUAGUCAAUCUGGGAAUGUGACGGGUGCAGGAAUUUGUGGACGCAUCUGCGAAGGAUGCUUGCUUUGUGAAUCUUGCUUAUAUUCCAUUUGGGGAGAUUCCAUUGGUAUCAGAGGUUGAGGCUUUGGCAAAUCAGUUUGUGAGGUUGGAUAAAUCGGAACCUAGUAUGGUUCUUGCUUGUGUAGUUUCACGGUCUUCUUUGUUCAAGCGCAUCAAGCCAUGUUAUAGUAUGAUGAUCCCUAUGUGCUUAUCCUUAAGGACACAGUGUAGGAGAGUGAUGCUAAAGAGGUUACUAUUGGAGAUGACGGGGUAUUAAUGAUGUAGGGUCGUAUUUGUGUUCCAAAUGCGGAUAGGUUGAGAGAGUUGAUAUUUGGGGCCCACAUUGCCGUUGGCAACGGUCCAGAUCCGUUGGCCAACGGAUAAUUUUGCAAAAAUGGCCAUUUUUGGUUAUUUUUUGUAUUUAUUAUUUGACAAUAUUAACCCUUCUUAAAAUCAAUAAAUACCCUCCCUUUUUUUUCAUUUCUUCACUCAAAAUUAUUAUCUCAAUCUCAAUUCUCAAAUUAUCAAUCUCUCUCUUCCCGUUUACAAUAUUAACCCUUCUUAAAAUCUAUAAAUACCAUCCCUUUUUCUUCAUUUCUUCACUCAAAAUUAUUAUCUCAAUCUCAAUUCUCAAAUUAUCAAUCUAUCUCAUUUUUAAAAUAUGUUUAGUGCUGCUAAAAGAGCGUGUAGAAAAGUUACGAGUAGGGGUGGAAAAAAAAAGGUAGUCCUGUAGCUUCCGGCAGUAAUAGUAAUGACCCAAUAACACAUGAUUCUGAAUCAUCGCCUAAUGAUAAUGUAGAGAUUGAUUAUGAACAAUUACAAGAAGAUUUUUGAAGAGAAGAUAAUGAAAUUGGAAUAGAAGAUGAGAUACCACCUACACCUAGUAGUGGAAAUGUUGGCAGUAUUGGAGUUGGAGUUGCUAGUGCUACAAGGGGUAGUAGACCACCAGUGGUAAAAGAAGAAGUCUGGUAUGGAAACUUUUUGAAAUAAUAGAAGGUACUAAUAGAGUUAAGUGCAAACUUUGUAACGAAACUUUUAAAUAUUUAACCGGAGGAAAUUUAAGGGGGACUGGGACACUUAGUAGAUAUAUGAGAUCACACCAUCCCAUAGAAUGGGGCAAUAAUGGGGAUGGAAGUCAAACAGCUUUUAACCCUACUACUGGAGGUCUAGUAAAAUAUGAUAAAAUGAGGGAUCGUGAGGAAUUAGCAAAAAUGAUUGCUUUGGGUUGUCUACCUUUUUCUGUUGCUUCUUCCUCUUAUCUGAGGAAUUAGUAAAAAUGAUUGCUUUGGGUUGUUUACCUUUUCCAAAUCCUUCUUCAUCGUAUCUUAUUAUGUAUAUUCAAAGGAUUUAUAAUCCUUUAUUUAAAGGUUGAGGAAUUAGCAAAAAUGAUUGCUUUGGGUUGUUUACCUUUUUCUAAUCCUUCUUCAUCGUAUCUUAUUAUGUAUAUUCGAAGGAUUUAUAAUCCUCUAUUUAAAGGUAUCGCUAGAAGUACUUGUAGAGCAGAUAUCUUUAUACUUCAUGGACAAUAUCAAACAUACAUACGUUAUUUGUUUAGUCACAUUCCUUCUAGAGUAUGUCUAACUUAUGAUAUUAGUCAUGCUGUUAAUGGAAAUGAUUAUUUGACAAUUACAUGCUAUUGGAUGGAUGAUAAUACUUGUAUGCAAAAACGUAUUAUCGCUUUUAAAUAUGAUGAAGAUCAGAGUCAUACUGCUACAUUUAUAAGUAGUACAAUUGUUAUGGAUGAUAAUACUUGUAUGCAAAAACGUAUUAUCGCUUUUAAAUAUGAUGAAGAUCAGAUUCAUACUGCUACGUUUAUAAGUAGUACAAUUGUUGAAGUUGUUGAAUUUUAUAAUCUAAAUAAAAAAGUUUUGUAUUUGUCUUUUGGUAAUGCUUCAAACAACAAUGCCGCAGUUUCAAUUUUUAAAUUGCAUUCAUAACCACCUCUUGAUGAUAUUUCUCAUGUUAGGUGUGCAUGUCAUUUUUUAUAAUUUAAUUGUUAAAAGUGACCUUGAUUUAUUUUCAGUUGAGAUUACUCAUGUUAGAANNNNNNNNNNNNNNNNNNNNNNNNNNNNNNNNNNNNNNNNNNNNNNNNNNNNNNNNNNNNNNNNNNNNNNNNNNNNNNNNNNNNNNNNNNNNNNNNNNNNNNNNNNNNNNNNNNNNNNNNNNNNNNNNNNNNNNNNNNNNNNNNNNNNNNNNNNNNNNNNNNNNNNNNNNNNNNNNNNNNNNNNNNNNNNNNNNNNNNNNNNNNNNNNNNNNNNNNNNNNNNNNNNNNNNNNNNNNNNNNNNNNNNNNNNNNNNNNNNNNNNNNNNNNNNNNNNNNNNNNNNNNNNNNNNNNNNNNNAUUGUUAAAUUUGUACAUAAAUUUUAUACUGCUACUGUUGUGUUUUCUAGCGCAUAUUACCCCACUGUUACUAUGGUUUUAGUACAUAUAGCUGAAAUUUCUUUGCUACUAUCUCAAUUUAAUAAGAAAUAAAAAUAUAUGAAUGUUGUUGAAAAAAUACAAGCAAAAUUCAAUAAUUAUGUCUUUCCAAUUCCUCCGAUUUACUUAAUUGGUGCAGUAUUAAAUCCUUUUAUUAUAAUGUCUGAUUGUCCCCAAUUAAUGAAUGCUUUAUAUACUUAUAUGGAGAUUAGAGAAACUGAAACCCCAAAUAUAUAUGAUUCUCUGAACAAGCUAAAUGAAUACUUACAACAACUGUAUAAUUAUUAUGCAAAUGAAUAUGAUAAUAUUGCUCGUGCUUCUGACAAUGUUAAACCCGCUAUGCAAUGUAGCAGUUCUGCUAAUGUGGAUGAUGAAGGCCUUGAUAGUUCAAAUAUUUUUCUACUUUUUCUCACACUCAAACCAGUAGCAGGAAUAUUGAUGAGGUUCAAUUCUACUCGCAGAAGCAAAAGGAUCCUCGUACAAAAGAAUUUUCACCGUUGGGAUGGUGGCAUGAAAAUGAAAAGCAAUUUCCAGUUCUUUUCGCUAUGGCUUGGGACGUCCUGAAUGUGCCAAUUUCCACUGUUGCAUCGGAGAGUGAAUUUAGCUAAGCUAGACAAUAACUUGGAGACGCCCACCACCCAUUGGGAAGCAAUGCUUUUGAAGUUUUAGUAUGUUUCAGAGAUUGGAUUAGAUCGGAACGAANNNNNNNNNNNNNNNNNNNNNNNNNNNNNNNNNNNNNNNNNNNUAUUUCAGAGAUUGGAUUAGAUCGGAACGAAGAAAUCAAGAAAAGGAAGAUGUUGAUAACCCAGAAGACGAGGAACUUGAAGAUAUAUUAACCAAUGGAAACUCAUCCGAAUUUAACUCCCCAAAAGAAGGUCUAUCGAUUCAUAUUGAUUAUGAUGAACUUGCUAGGGUGAUGCAAAACAUUUGAAAUUACUACUUUACUUGUUUACUUGUUAAAAAAAAUAUUUCAUUUUCUACUUUUUCAAUUUGAAAUUAAAAAAUAAAGUAGCACUUGCAAUAAGUAAUUACUACUAUACUAGUUUACUUGUUAAAAAAACAUUUCAUUUUCUACUUUUUCAAUUUUAAAUUAAGAAAUAAAGUAGCACUUGCAAUAAGUACAAUUUUUCCCCAUCUUACUAGUAUUCAUUCAAUUAUUACAAAGUAUUAAUAUAUUUAUAACUUAAUAGUUAUACUACACAUAAUUCCAAAAUUGUUUUUUUUUGAAAAUAUACUAAACCUGGCCCGUCCCCCUUCAACCCGUAAGGUUCAAUUUUAACCCGAACAAACCCAGCCCGCAAUGAACCUGUCACUGUGCAACCCGGCCCGGCCUGUUUCGGACCCGAACCGACCUGGUAGACCCGGUUAACACCCUUGGGUGAAAUUAAAUGUUUCAACCGGACCAGACCGGACCGGUAUAAACCGGGACCGGACCCGUCCGGUUACUAAGGGGCCGGGUGGGCUGGGUUGGGGCGGAAGGGGGUUGGUCAUUUUGGGAUUUCUAGGCUUGGAACCGGCCCGGUUUGACUAAGCACUACCGUGAACCGGUUGGACCGGCCCGGUUCAACGGUAAGAUGUCUUUUUUUUUUAAAAUUUUUGGGGCCCACAUUACCGUUGGCAACGGUCCAAAUCCGUUGGCCAGCGGAUAAUUUUUCAAAAAUGGCCAUUUUUUGGUUAUUUUUUAUUUAUUUAUUAAGUUACAAUAUUAACCGUUCUUAAAAUCUAUAAAUACCCUCCCCUCUUCUUCAUCUCUUCACUCAAAAUUCUUAUCUCAAUCUCAAUUCUCAAAUUAUCAAUCUCUCUCUUCCCUUCANNNNNNNNNNNNNNNNNNNNNNNNNNNNNNNNNNNNNNNNNNNNNNNNNNNNNNNNNNNNNNNNNNNNNNNNUCUCUUCCCUUCAAUUUGCAAGAUUAUAUAUUCUAAUUUUAUAAUUUUAUUUGUCUCUCUUUUCCCGAAUUUAAUUUAUCGCAAUUUGUCAUUCGGAAAAUACAAAACUCAAGCAAAUAACAAUCCUUUGCUUGAGAAAUACAAACUCAAAAACCAACUAAAAAAUCCUUUCCCCUACAUGCCAAUUUUAACCAAAUGGUUAUUUUUGUAAAUGUGACCCCUACUCAAUUUCACAUGAAUUUUGAGGUCGGCCCCGGUAUUGCGGACACAACCUUUCAGCACCUUGGGGACAAAGAUUUAAUGCUGUGAGGGUCAUGACAAAAGUGGCGGUUCAUGCAAUGUUAGCCUUCUGGUGUCUCUUCUGGAAACAUUCGGUUAUUUUUGACAAGAAUUCUCAAUUUCACAUGAAUUUUGAGGUUGGCCCCAGUAUUGCGGGCACAGCCUUUAAGCGCCUUGGGGACAAAGAUUUAAUGCUGUGAGGGUCAUGACAAAAGUGGCAAUUUAUGCAAAGUUAGCCUUCCGGUGUCUCUUUUGGGAACAUUCAACUAUUUCUGACAAGAAUGACUGCAUCUGAGUUAUUUAUGGCGAAAAUUAAUAUUUUGAUUUUUUUUGCUAUUUUUGUAAAGGGGAGGUUGGACCCGAUGAGGGUUGCCUACGUAUCUCACGCCCUGUGAGAAUCAAACCAUGCGUAGUUUGGCAAAUGAAACGAACUAUUUUAAAGCAAGGCUCUUUUUGAUUUUCACUUUUGGUAUUUCAUAAGCAAAUAACAAAACUACUUUCAAAAGCACGACUCUUUUCAUUUUUGGCAUUUCACAAAUAAAUAAGUUUUCACUUUUGGCAUUUCAUAAGCAAAUAACAAAACUACUUUCAAAAGUACGACUCUUUUCAUUUUUGGCAUUUCACAAAUAAAUAAAAUAAAUAAAUUAUUUAAAAAUAAGGAUCUUUUUUAAUUUUCAUUUUCUUUUCAACAAACAAUAAAACAUCCUAUUUUUCCGAAACUAAUAUAAAGACUCUUUUUUUUUAAACAAACAACUUUCAGAAAAUAAAAGACUCUUUUUAUAUUUACCUUUGCUUUUUUAGUAAAACAAACUAUAAAACCUUUUCCUUCUUCAUUUUUUCAAAAUUUUGGCAAAGUUUCGACAUUAUUUGUGCGUUGGUAUUUCAAAAACUAAGCAAUUAACUCUAUACAACGCUACUUCUCUCUUUUCUCUUUUUCUCAAUAUUUCUAUAUUCAGAUAUUCAGAGGCCGGUAAGAUGCAAGUCCGAAUACAUAACUGCGCAGAACAAGUAGGAUGCAUCAGGAUGGUCUUUUCAUUUCUGGUUGCUACUCCUAGACGGACCCAACCCUGUGUUGAGUCACCUAAGUUAAAUGCAACAUGAUGCAAAUAAGCGUUCCUACUAGGGAUCCGGCAUGAAGUCACAUUAGUCUAGGGCAGGAUUUAUAGGAAAGAGCUAAUGGAUUCAUGACGGGGAAGAUGAGAGGAAUUUAUGGUGUUAUUUAGUAGUGAAUUGGCUGUGGUGCCAUUCACCGGUGGUAGGGUUCUGGCGAGGUUCAAAGAACCUGUACGAGGAAGAGGGUUACAGCCUCUAAAUUUGUACAAGAUCCCCGACCAUUUUAUUUAAUUGACCAAAUUGAUCCUUAGCCGCUGGAUUAGGAUAAUUGGACGACUGUGAUCAAACAAAACGGGGCGAUGUCGUUUUGAUGGAGGACUUGGACCGGGCAAGGUGCUUUUUGGGCCGGGGCUGUGACAAACUAAAAUUGGGCCCGAAAAGACUAGACACAGAUGGCCCGAAAUGCAUUAACCCAUUCCUUUUAUUAAAAACCCUUUUGCUUUCUCUUUUUCCUUUAUUUCUUUUGUUUUCCACGUUAUAAGUUGUAUUUUUUUUUCCUUUUUUAUACUUUUAUAACGAUAAAAAUAAAACUUAAAAAAUGAAAAUAAAUUCCGAACAUUAAACUAACUAAUCUCCUUACAAUUAUCUAAAACUAUUUGAUAAAAAUAAAACUUAAAAAAAUGAAAAUAAAUUCCGAACAUUAAGCUAACUAAUCUCCCUACAAUUAUCUAAAACUAUUUUGUAAAACAAUUUCAAUCAAACCACAAAAUGAACUAUUUUUGUUAUUUCUUCAUAUUUCUUUCAAAAUAAAUUAACUCCUAAUUAAUACUAAAAUACGAAUUUAAUUCCUUAACAAAUGCCAAGUAUUUUUGUAUUUUUCAUAUGAAUUAACUUGCGUGAAUAAAAUGCAACCAAUUAACACAAAAUUCAUGAAGAUGUAAAAUAAGAAAAAAUCUUUUUGUUUGGAAUUUUUAAGAAUAAUUCAUAUGUAGGACAAAAAUUACAUGAUCACAUGAUGAAAAUUCCGCAGGUGCGAUGGAAAGUCCGCAAAUGUGGAAUAUCUGGGAAGGAAAGGGUUAAGUGCGAGGGUUUGAUUUCUUUCUCAAUUUUGGAUCUAGAGAGCACAGAUUAAGGCGAAAUUUCGAGUUUGAUUUCAUCAUCUAAUUUAGGAAUUUGGUUGAGAAAUUUAGGGAAAAAUGGUAAAAGUUCUUCAACUAUGAUUUUUGUUUUUGGUUGGGGUUUUUACAUUGCAUUUGGAUGAUUUUUGUACGAGUGGACUCGUGAGUGAAUGGGUGUUCAUAUUUUGUGACUUUUACUCGAUUCCUAGACGUGGGCCCGAGGAGGCAUUGUAGGGCAAUUUUUGAAUUUCUUAUUUAAGCGUUGAUUUCAUUAAUUAGAUUAGUAUAUAAUAGUUGUAUUUAUUAUACGUAAUUACUAUUGGCUAGAUUUGGGUCAUUCAGAGCCAGAUAUUCGUGGGAAAGGCAUUGUGACUAACUGAUUGAGCUUGGUUCAAGGUAAGUGGCUUGCCUAACCUUGUGUGAGGGAACUCCCCUUAUGAUCUAGUACUGUUUGAAAUAUGAGCGUUGUGUACGUGAGGUCGAGUGUGUACAUGAGCUCUUUAUUGAAAAACUCCAUUUUCAUUAAGUAAAAUAUCUGUUGUGCUUUAACUAAGCUACCUAGCGUAUGUAAUUAUCCUAAUAAGUUUAGAAAAGCAUGUCUAUGUGUCUUAUUACUUCUCUGAACUCUAUGUAGCAUGCUUAGUUAUAAAAUUCCUUUUUCUUCGUUGAGUUGCACUUAGUAUAAAUCGUAGAAUUUCCGUGUUUUAGUUUUAGUUCUAUUGUUUGAGUUGCAUAUUCACUUUGGGACUAUAAAAUAGAAUUGUGGGAGAUCCCCAUGUGCUGCAUAUUAACUUUGGGACUACAAUGGUAUUCUGGGAGACCUCCCUGUACUGCAGUUACUUUGGGACUACGAAACGGUAUUCAGAGACACCCCCUUGAGGACUAUAAUGGUAUUCUGGGAGAUCUCCCUGUACUGUAGUUACUUUGGGAUUACGAAAUAGUAUUCUGAGAGACUCCCUUGCAUAUUUAUGUUUGGGACUACGAAACGGUAUCUCAGAAGAUCCCCUGUUAUUACCUCACUGUACUUAGCUGUUACCUUUCUAUGGUUUCAUUCUCGUUAGACUUCAAGCCUUUAUUUUACUACGAUAUUUUAUCUUUUCUUAUUUUUAUUAUAUAUAUACUAGUAUGAGCCUGGCCUGACCUCGUCACUACUCGACCGAGGUUAGGUUUGGUACUUAUUAGGUAUCGUUGUGGUGUAUAUACUAGUAUGAGCCUGACCUGACCUCGUCACUACUCGACCGAUGUUAGGUUUGGUACUUAUUAGGUAUCAUUAUGGUAUACUCAUGCCCUUCCCCGCAUAUGUUUUUUCGUGUGCAGAUUCAGGUACUGCCUAUCAGUCGCAUUAUCAGUGAGUCGAGACAGCUUUAGAGAAUUUAAGGUAUAUGUGCCACGUCCGUAGACCUCAGAGUCCUUUUCUAUUAUUCCCCAUGUCAAACACUUCUUGUAUUUCCUUUGUUAAACUCUGAGUAUAGAGAUACUAUUUUCUUUCUGUAGUUUGUGACUUACAAUGUUCCGGAUUUUUAGAGAGUUUAUAUACAUUACGAGAGUUGACUAUAUGCUGAGCGAUAUCUCAAAUGUGUUAUUUAUGUUAUCUGUUACUAUUAGUUGUUAUUAGAUUUUUAGAGAGUUUGUAUACAUUUCGAGAGUUUACUAUAUGCCGAGCGAUAUCUCAAAUGUGUUAUUUAAGUUAUAUGUUACUAUUAGUUGUUAUCCUUUAUGUUUUUACUUCAUUUUUCCUAAAUUUUAUUCUUACCUAGUUGUAGAGAUUAGUGCCGUCACGGCAAUUAGCAGAGGAAGAAUUUGCAUCAUGACAUACUCUAAAUCAGGUAAGCCAAACGGGCUAUAGGCCAUAUAAGAACAAGAAACAAAAUUCUUUCUCUGCCAUGCUUUAUAGGAUGAAGCGACAGAGAUUGCAAUUAAAAUACAAAAUAAACACAAAAAUAUAAUAUAAAUUUCUUAUGCUUGUUGAUAACAUGUGUUCGAAGCUUGAAAAUUAUUGAAGAAAAAAAAAUUCAAUAAAUAAAAUGAAAUUUUAUGCUUACCUAGUUGUAGAGAUUAAUGCCGUCACGACAAUUAGCAGAGGAAGAAUUUGCAUCGUGACAUACUCUAAAUCAGGUAAGCCAAACGGGCUAUAGGCCAUAUAAGAACCAGAAACAAAAUUCUUUCUCUGCCAUGCUUUAUAAGAUGAAGCGACAGAGAUUGCAAUUAAAAUAUAAAAUAAACACAAAAAUAUAAUAUAAAUUUCUUAAGCUUGUUGAUAACAUGUGUUCGAAGCUUGAAAAUUAAAGAAGAAAAAAACAUUCAAUAAAUAAAAUUAAAAAUAAUUUGAGCCCAGAAGUUACUUCUGUGUCCUUAAGGAAAUUAAUAUCCUUGAUGUUGCCGAAUGUUUUAGCAAGAUCUAAGCGAUAAGCUCGACCCAAAAGACAUUAAAACGGGAUUGAUCCCAAGCCAUUUGUAUGAAUGACCGCCCUCCAAACCAACAUUUUCAUCUUCACUGUGCAGCAGCCACUAAAAUGUCUCGUUAUCUAAGUAAGAUAGUUCGUAUGAGAUUUAAAUAAGCCAUCCAAUUGUUACGCAUCAUUAUCAUUUCAAUAGGUAAAAGCAAAAGAUGAAAAAAAGAAAAAAAGGAAAUAAUCAGAAUAUGUGAUUCCCUAGCAAACGCCAAAGAUAAGAGUCCAGUAACUUAACACUCCAAAAAAUAAUUUUGUGGACUUUAUUGAUACGACGAGUUAAGUUCAACAACAACAACAACUCAGUAUAAUCCCACUAAGUGGGGUUUGGGGAGGGUAGUGUGUAUGCAGACUUUAGUCCUACCCUAGGGUAGAGAGGCUGUUUCCAAAUAGAAACCCAGCAUCCUUCCCUCCAGGAAUUUCCCACCCUUGCUCUUGGGGAGACUCAAACACACAACCUCUCGGUUGGAAGUAGGGGUUGCUUACCAUCAAAGUAACCCCUCUUGUCUAACCACGAGUAAAGUUCAAUUGUCACAAAAUUAACCCGAUGGACUUGAUGAAACUGAUGAUGAGUGACUACAAAGUGGAGAUGAUUAAUGAAAUACAAGAUGCGAGGGUAGUUAGUGUUAUAGCUUCUGUAUCAUUUUGUUGGUAGAAUAUAAAUCUUGCAUUUCAUCGUUGAUUAUAUAUCUCGACCUUUUAGUCACACGCAUCAUCAGUUUCAUCAAGUCCAUAAGAUAAAUUUUACUAGUGUUUGCUGAUCAAAGUUCACGAGACUUCAUCGUAAUUGACAUCCUCCUUCUCAUUAUUGUUGUGAGUUCUCUUCAUCUAACAACCACUUAAAUUGUGUUGAGGAUGAAUGAUUGGUAAAGAUUGAGCAAUUUAUAUAGGAGGGAGCCGUCAAGGGUUUUUUAAUUUCUUUCUUUUUCUUAUAAUUAUUAAAAUGAAAAAGUAUAGUAAGUUGUUAAUUAAGGUAAGAUAAUUGGCAUAUUGUUGAACUUAGGAAAAAAAUUUGUAAGUUGUUAGGAGAUUUAGAAAAAUCAAUGUGAGUGAAUGGGUGUUCAUAUUUUGUGAAGAGAUAGAGAUAGAGAGAGAAGUUGCAUUAUUCGAGAAUAAUUAUGCCCCCUAUUACAAUGAAGGUGUCCUUUAUAUAGUAGGAGACCUUCUCCGAAAUAAUUAAAAAGUACACAAGUUAGUUGCUUCCACUCAGUAAAUAAGCAAGACCCUACACAACGCCGCCUUUACUUUAUCAACUGGGUCGUACCCUCACUUGGGUCGACCUUAUCAUAAUGGACGUGGCCACUCGGUCUGGGAACAUUGAGAGCAAAAUUUUACCCUAUUAGUCCCUCCAUAUUUUGGAGAUGUGCUUGAUGAUCGUCUACAAUGGACAGACAUGCAUACUUCGUUUUUAUGGAAUUUGCCGCACCCAUCCUCUUUCAAAAGACAUAAGCGUGUGUAAUAUUGUUGAGUCGUUGACAUACAACCCCUUUCCUAGAAUGACGUCCCUGGUCAUGUGCGUCAUCAUUAUACUUAUUCCCAAAACGAUUCAGAUCGUAUUGUUGAGUCGUUGCCAUAACCCCUUUCCUAGAAUGAUGUCACUGGUCAUGUGUGUCAUCAUUAUACUUAUUCCCAAAACGAUUCAGAUCAUGACAUGAUGUUUUGAUUUCCUGCGUCAGUUUUUGAACUGUGCCUUUUCGAUUUCCAUGUACCUUAUCCCUAUAAAUAGAGGAGUGGUUCAACGGGAUUCAUCUUUCGAACCUUUGGAGAGUAUCCCUUUAUUUUUUUUCUUCAUCUUUCUUUCUAGUAAUUGUUGCUUCGUUUGAGAACUACCAUUUAUGGGGAUUGUACCUCUUGUUGUUGACACCGUUCCUCAUAAAUUAUACCAUGGUGAAGUAUCGUCAAGACAAAAAAAUGACCAAGGAUAUGGCCCCUUCUAGGGCUCAGAAUUCCUCCGAUUUUUCAUGUACCUUAUCCCUAUAAAUAGAGGAGUGGUUCAACGGGAUUCAUCUUUCGAACCUUUAGAGAGUAACCCUUUAUUUUUUUUCUUCAUCUUUCUUUCUAGUAAUUGUUGCUUCGUUUGAGAACUACCAUUUAUGGGGAUUGUACCUCUUGUUGUUGACACCGUUCCUCAUAAAUUAUACCAUGGUGAAGUAUCGUCAAGACAAAAAAAUGACCAAGGAUAUGGCCCCUUUUUGACAUCGUUCCUCAUAAAUUAUACCAUGGCGAAGUAUUGUCAAGGCAAAAAAUGACCAAGGAUAUGGCCCCUUCUAGGGCUCCGCCUUCCUCCGAUGGUGAGGGGAAGAAGUGAAGAAAAUCCUCAUUCCCCUAACGUUGGAUAAUAUUCUUCCGAAAAACUUGAGUGUUCGAACUAACUUCAACUCGACGUACCCCUCAUUUCCUUGGGUGAAAAGUGAGUUAUUGCAGUGUCACUUAGAGAUAGCGCCCUUUUGACCUCACAACAUGGAGCCGUGCCGGAGGUGGCAUCUUAGGCGGUGCCUGAGGUGUUACAUGAGGUUGUACCAGUGACAACACCUGAGGCCGUGCCUGUGAUAGCGCCUGAGGCCACUACAACGGAGGUGACUUCUGAAGGCGAAGAGCCGCCAGAUAGAAAGAGGCGUCGAAUGAUUACCAGCAAGGGAAUUGGGACUAAGAGCGUGAGGCCUAGUAAGCCCCGUCGAGAGCCGAGGCUAGUUUCUAUGGUUGAGGCCAUCCGUUCAGGGAGAUUGGCCCCUGGGGGAACAACUGGCGUUGUCCAAUUAGCCCGUGCCCCAAAAGGCAGGUCGUAUUCUGCAGUUAGGGGAGCGGACCUGGAAAUUGAAAGGACGACCUCUGAGGCCGCUCUUGGAGAAGCAACAAGGGACUCAGCCCGCGCGGAGAUGAGGGCGGGCAAGUCUACACGUCGAUUUGUAAUCCUUGGCGGGUAUAAUUUGUUAGAAGACAGCGAGCAAGACGCAACAGAUAUGACUUUUUUAUAUGCGGCUGCCGAACAUGAAAUGCUGAAAAGCAUAAGUAAUAGGCAUUUGUCGAGGUGGAUCGUCGGUGCGACUUUGGAGGUAGCUUUUUGUUUUCUUUUAUGAGUUGUAAAAGCGAAUUUGUCAUGUACUGACGUGUUUACUCUCUUCUUCCCUCAUCUUGGAGGUGUAGAGGAGGUGGCGUGAAUAAAAGAAGGCAGCCACCUUCAAUAAAAUGGCAAUGAAAUACAUGGAGUGCCGUGUCAAGCUCUAGGCGCUGGCAGAUAUACUUAAGCAAGAUCCCCAGUUUCGGAUAUUCCGUGAGGGUCUUGAGGAAUCAAACGCUCUUUGAAGAAGAGGGUGGCCGAGCUAGAGGAAGUUGACAAGCAGUUGAUGGCUGCUUUGGCUUGAAACAUCAAGCUAGAGACUCUCCUUCAAUCCAAAGAGGAGGAACUGGAGAUAAGCCGUGGGGUAGCGGCGAAACUGCUGAGAACCAGCUUUGAUUUAUGCCGGAACGUUCGACUACAAAAGCCAUCCACCUUGUUAGGAUAUUGGUGGAGAAGUAUAAGGAGAGAAAGAAGGACUUGCAUAUGGUGUUCAUCGACUUAGAAAAGGUGUAUGAUAAAGUUUAGAGGGAGGUUUUUUGGAGAUUUUCGGAGGCUAGAGAUGUACGUGUUGCCUACGUUAGGUUGAUUGAAGAGAUGUAUGAUGGAGUAAAGACCUGAGUGAGGAUGGUGGGUAGGGAUCAAACCAUUUUUCGAUUAUAAUGGGGUUGUAUCAGGGGUCGGCACUCAGCCCUUUUUUGUUUGUUCUGGUGAUGGACGUGCUGGCGCACCACAUACAAGGACAGGUAUCGAGGUGUAUGCUAUUUGUAGAUGAUAUUAUAUUGAUCGACAAGGUGCGAGACGGUGUGAACGCGCAAUUAGAGAUAUAGAGGCAGAAUCUGGAAUCUAAAGGUUUCAAGUUGAGUUGGACCAAGACAUAAUACUUGGAGUGUGAUAUCACUGACAAGACUCAAGGAGGAAAAUGAGAGGUGAGACUGGACUCGCAAGUCAUCCCUAGGAGAAAGAGUUUUAAGUACCUUGGAUCUAUUAUUCAUGGGGAUGUAGAAAUUGAGGACUCGCAAGUCAUCCCUAGGAGAAAGAUUUUUAAGUACCUUGGAUCUAUUAUUUAUGGGGAUGGAGAAAUUGAUGAAAAUCUCACAUAUCAUAUUGGGGCGGGAUGGAGGAAAUGUAGACUUGUUUCUGGUGUUCUUUGUGACAAGAAGGUGUCACCCCAACAAUGUUGUAUUGGGUUGAGUUGGCCCGUCAAGAUCGCCCAUGUCCAGAAGAUGAAUGUAGCAGAGAUGAGGAUGUUGACAUGGAUGUAUAGGCAAACCAGGUUAGAUAUGAUUAGAAAUAAGGUUAUUCAUGAUAAGGUGGGUGUGGCUCCUAUUAAGAACAAGAUGCGGAAAGCGCAUAGUAUGUGUAAAAUCUGUGUAUACACUAUCUUCUUGAAAUCCCAUAAUGUGGGAUAACACUGAGUAUGUUGUUAUUUUUGUUGUUGCUGUCAUUUAAAUAUUUAUGUUAGACUUUAUAAUAAGGUCAUCAGAGGGGUUCAAUUCUAAAAUGACUUUUUCUGCUUGUUACCUUAUGAAACAGAGAAAAAGUUGAACUCACGAAAUGUCCCAGGAUUACAGAUUAAGGGAUUCAAUUCUAAAAUGACUUUUUCUGCUUGUUACCUUAUGAAACAGAGAAAAAGUUGAACUCACGAAAUAUCCCCGAAUUACAGAUUAUAUGUUGAUCAUCAUUAUUUUUCCCCUUUAUUAGAAGAGCUUCUCUAUAUAUUUGAGAUGAGGUAAAUUACUUUCUCGUUAGAAGUGUGAAACUUGAAGUAGAAAUGUUACGGAUAAGUUUUGUCACUGAAUAUGUUUUAUUAUACGUAGAGGAGGAGGGAAAGAGAAAAUGACAUUACAAGCUGGAAUCAAACCCUCACCAAUAAUGUAAUGAUAUUAAAUAUGACAUUUAAUUUAUUUGUGAACAUUAAUACUCAUAUCGUUAAAUGUUCUGAUACUUGCAUAGACUCGGAAGAUUACCGGAUUUUAGAGUUUGACUAGUGAAUGGUAAGAUAUAAUUGACAACUCUCUUGAUUAUCUAAUUAAUUCAAGAUUUUAAUAAGAAAUAAAAUUAGAAGGAAACUGUCACAAAUCAAAACUAUAGGGUUGUGAUCAGCUCUCAGUGCUGCUUCCGUAUGACCAUAGCAGAUUUAGCUGGGGAUUUGUAGGUUCAAUUGAUCCCAAGAUUUGACUUUUGAGUAAAGCACCUCGGAAUCGAGAUUUGAUGGUUUUAACAGGUUUGUAUGUCGAUUGUGGACUUGGUCGUAUGUUCGGAUUAGAAAUUUGGAUGUUCCUAGAAGGUUUUGGCCCUAUUUGCCAAACAUUUGGCAAUUUGAAUAAUUGGAAAGUUCACAAGUAUCACCGCAAGUUGAUUUGAUGGUAUUGUUGAAAAAUAAAAUUAAAAUUAACUUGAUUUUGUAUUAAUUAUUUGGCUUAAGAAAUUAUGAAAAAUAAAGAGACCAAUUAGCCUAUUUUCUAGAAUGUGAGCCCUUUGGCCCAUGUUCUAGAAAUGUGCUCUAGAAAUAUCUUUAGAAUAGUAGACUGAUAUAGGUAAGUAUGGAGUGAUCUAGAGAGUGGAUAUUUUUGUAGAAUUGUGUAGAAUGUGAUUUGUAGCCAUUAGACUAAAGUUGUGUUGGAUAAAUCUUGGCCAUUGAUUGAGGAAGUGGCCAAGUAUAAAUAGGUGUAGGAUUGUUCAUUUUAUAUUAAGCCAAAAAAAAAAAAAUCAAAAACAAGUUUGAGUAAUAAAAGUUUCUUUUGGCCAAGUAUAAAUAGGUGUAGGAUUGCUCAUUUUGUAUGAAGCAAAAAAAAUCAAAAACAAGUUUGAGUAAUAAAAGUUUCUCUUCUCCAAAAUCUUUCUACUCUUCAAAAAUUCCCUUAGCCUAAAAGCCUCCCUCCAAAUAUUAAUAGCAAUCCUCUUCCAACAAAGUGGAAUCAGAGCCACAAGAUUCUAACCAAAAAUUUCUAAAAUCAUGGCAAAUAGUGUUGCAUCCUUCCAAGUUCCUAUGCUCAACAAGAGCAACUAUGAUAAUUGGAGUAUCAAGAUGAAGGCUCUCCUAGGUGCACAUGAUGUUUGGGAUAUUGUAGAUAAAGGCUACAGUGAGCCCCGAGAUGAAUCUACAUUAUCCCAAACUCAAAAGGAUGGUUUGAAGGAUUCAAGAAAUAGAGACAAGAAAGCUCUCUACCUCAUCUACCAAGCAUUGGAUGAUGAUGGGUUCGAGAAGAUCUCAAGUGCAACCACUGCUAAUGAAGCGUGGGAGAAACUCCAAACGUCCUACAAAGGUGCCGAGCAAGAAAAGAAGGUACGCCUCCAAACAUUAAGAGGAUAAUUUGAGUCUCUACAUAUGAAAGAAGGGGAGUCCAUUUCCGACUAUUUUCAAAGAGUUUGGUGGUUUCAAAUUAAAUGAAAAGAAAUGGUUAAAAAUUGGAAGAUGUUAGACUUAUUGAGAAGAUACUCCGGUCAUUAACUUCCAAAUUCGAGCAUAUUAUCAUAACAAUUGAAGAAACCAAAAAUUUGGAGGAGAUGUCAAUUGAUCAAUUAAUGGGAUCCUUACAAGCAUAUGAAGAAAAGCAUAAGAAAAAACAAGAUAUAGUGGAGCAAUUAUUCAUCCUUACAAGCAUAUGAAGAAAAGCAUAAGAAAAAACAAGAUAUAGUGGAGAAAUUAUUCAAGAUGCAAAUAAAAGAUAAGGAAGAAAGUAUCAGAAAUGGAUGAGGUCAAUAUGGAAGAGGUCGUGGUCAUGGACGAGGUCGAGGCCAUGGACGUGGACGAGGAGGUUUCAACAACAAGAAAGAAAGAAGAGAAUACCCAAGUCGUGGGAGAGGCAACCAAGGUGCAAGGUAGGAUAAAUCUCAAAUCAAAUGUUAUUCAUAUAAAAACUAUGGACACUAUGCUUCACAAUGUAGAUGGUCUCAAACCAAAGUCGAAGAGACCACCAACCUUGUGGAGUAUAUGGGCCAAAAACACGUGACCCUACUUCUAACAUACAAAGGAGAAGAAGGGAGACAAGACAACACUUGGUACCUUGACACCGGGGCGAGCAACCAUAUGUGUGGAAAGAGGAGCAUGUUCGUGGAGCUCGACGAAUCGGUGAGUGGUAAUGUUUCUUUUGGUGAUGAAUCCAAAAUACCAGUGGAAGGCAAAGGUAACAUCCUAAUCCGCUUGAAGAAUGGAAAUCACCAAUUUAUCUCAAAUGUCUACUGUGUGCCCAACAUGAAAA